UGAUCUAUUUUGUUGGAUCCGUUAUCUUGGUUUAAAAUUAUUUGAAAGUGAAGGUUUAGGUCCACGUACUCGAGGGUGUGUUCAAUUAGCAAGAUUAUUGGUUUUUAGUGGAUGCAAUUGAAACAUGUACCUGUAUUCUGGAUGAAUUUUGCUAAAUGUCACCUUUGAUUUGCAAAAAAAAAAUGGAACUCGAGAGUGUUGUUCGGAACAAACUCAUAAACUAA
Molecule: long non-coding RNA, 224 nt
Filed under: Helianthus annuus (common sunflower)
Lineage: Eukaryota; Viridiplantae; Streptophyta; Magnoliopsida; Asterales; Asteraceae
Description: hypothetical non coding rna
Source: RNAcentral